Rosa rugosa (rugosa rose) is the source of this 837-nucleotide long non-coding RNA. RefSeq lists it as uncharacterized. Lineage: Eukaryota; Viridiplantae; Streptophyta; Magnoliopsida; Rosales; Rosaceae. The transcript has 3 exons. The record is from RefSeq and is a predicted model, not a curated record.
AGGCAAUACGAUUCAUUGAGAUAGGAGAUCAGCCCGUGUUCUUUGCAGAAAGUUCAUCAUCAAGAAGGAGAUUUCAGAAGAAGAUGGCAGUGAAUAUCAUAUUUGAGGAAGGAAUACGGUUCCCUGCUGAUUCUUAGUUGUCAAAUGAGGACUAUUAAUCUAAUGAUUUUUAAUUUCCAUGUAAAUGAAUAGGCAAACAAUAUUAGUGUUUUGCAUUGGGACCUUCAAGUGAACAAAUAACCUGGCUCAGGGAGUUGGUGCAACAGUACUGUUUUGUUAAAGGCUUCCAAGUUGUGUCAUGAGGACAGGUAAAGGACCCAGUUCUCUGAACUUGGCUCAUGAGGAUGAGGUCAAUCUUGAGGCCUAGAGACAGUGGACUGAUGAAGAAUUAGGCUUUGAAAGUUGUGCAGUUGUGCAAGAUGGAACAAACUGAAGUACUAUGGGAAAGCGAGAACUAUUCCGCUGCUUGGGGUGCGCUUUGUUGAAGAAAAGCUGAAUACUAGUGCUUGAUGAAGCCACUUCAUCAUAAAUGGAAAAUUCAACAGAAUCAAUUCUACACAAAAGUACAAGAGCAGAAUUUGCAGACUGCACUGUAAUAAUAGUGACCCAUAGGAUACCAACCGUGAUGCUAUGGUAGAGUAUGAUGAGCCAAUGAAGUUGAUGACAAUGGGGGAUCACUAUUUGGGCAGCAUGUCGAGCAAUACUGGUCUUGUUCUGCCACUGCAAGCAACCACUCAGAAGAUUGAUAGGGUAAGCCAAGUCUAGCCAACUUUUCUGCUACAAGUAUGUGUCGAUUGAUCUACCAAAGUACUAGAGUACGUUGUUUAAAACCUAGAA